UGGGGAAUCUUGCGCAAUGCGCGAAAGCGUGACGCAGCAACGCCGCGUGGAGGAAGACGGUCUUCGGAUUGUAAACUCCUUUCAGUUGGGACGAAGCUCAACGGGUUAAUAGCCCGGCGGAGUGACGGUACCUUCAGAAGAAGCCCCGGCUAACUACGUGCCAGCAGCCGCGGUAAUACGUAGGGGGCUAGCGUUGUCCGGAAUCAUUGGGCGUAAAGCGCGUGUAGGCGGUCCGGUAAGUCCGCUGUGAAAGUCGGGGGCUCAACCCUCGAAUGCCGGUGGAUACUGUCGGGCUAGAGUGCGGAAGAGGCGAGUGGAAUUCCUGGUGUAGCGGUGAAAUGCGCAGAUAUCAGGAGGAACACCAAUUGCGAAGGCAGCUCGCUGGGACGUUACUGACGCUGAGACGCGAAAGCGUGGGGAGCAAACAG
Molecule: ribosomal RNA, 428 nt
Filed under: uncultured bacterium
Lineage: Bacteria
Description: bacterial SSU rRNA
Rfam family: Bacterial small subunit ribosomal RNA
Source: RNAcentral